Molecule: ribosomal RNA, 402 nt
Filed under: uncultured bacterium
Lineage: Bacteria
Description: bacterial SSU rRNA
Rfam family: Bacterial small subunit ribosomal RNA
Source: RNAcentral
UGGGGAAUCUUGCACAAUGGAGGAAACUCUGAUGCAGCGACGCCGCGUGAGCGAAGAAGCCUUUCGGGGUGUAAAGCUCUUACGCCAGGGACGAUAAUGACGGUACCUGGAGAAGCAGCUGCGGCUAACUACGUGCCAGCAGCCGCGGUAAUACGUAGGCAGCAAGCGUUGUUCGGAAUUACUGGGCGUAAAGGUUGCGUAGGCGGCGCUCUAAGUUUGGUGUGAAAUCUCCCGGCUUAACUGGGAGGGUGCACUGAAAACUGGGGCGCUCGAGUAUGGGAGAGGAAAGCGGAAUUCCUGGUGUAGCGGUGAAAUGCGUAGAGAUCAGGAGGAACACCUGCGGUGCAGACGGCUUUCUGGACCAUCACUGACGCUGAGGCACGAAAGCGUGGGUAGCAAACA